This 426-nucleotide ribosomal RNA is filed under the name uncultured bacterium. RNAcentral describes it as "bacterial SSU rRNA". It matches the Rfam family "Bacterial small subunit ribosomal RNA", at positions 354 to 796 of the family's 1533-position model. The record is from RNAcentral.
GUGAGGAAUAUUGCACAAUGGGGGAAACCCUGAUGCAGCAACGCCGCGUGGAGGAUGACAGCCCUUGGGUUGUAAACUCCUUUUCUGUGGGACGAGAGAGGACGGUACCACAGGAAUAAGUCACGGCUAACUACGUGCCAGCAGCCGCGGUAAUACGUAGGUGGCGAGCGUUAUCCGGAAUUACUGGGCGUAAAGCGUACGCAGGCGGCUUGUUUAGUCUGACGUGAAAUCUCCCGGCUUAACUGGGAGAGGUCGUUGGAAACUGACAAGCUUGAGGCAAUGAGAGGGGCAUGGAAUUCCCGGUGUAGUGGUGGAAUGCGUAGAUAUCGGGAGGAACACCAGAGGCGAAAGCGAUGCCCUGGCAUUGACCUGACGCUCAUGUACGAAAGCGUGGGGAGCAAACGGGAUUAGAAACCCCAGUAGUCC